Molecule: long non-coding RNA, 156 nt
Organism: Amblyraja radiata (thorny skate)
Lineage: Eukaryota; Metazoa; Chordata; Chondrichthyes; Rajiformes; Rajidae
Exons: 3
Source: RefSeq, a predicted model, not a curated record
CAACCACAAACCUCAGAUUACUGCAACUCCCUCUACACUGGCAUCAGCCAAUCUUCUCUGUCCCGCCUGCAACUGGUCCAAAAUGCCGCAGUGGGACUACUGACGGGCACCCGACCUGGCCUCUGUGCGGUCCCGAAUAAAUUUCAAGAUCCUCCU